This 85-nucleotide transfer RNA is filed under the name Felis catus (domestic cat). It matches the Rfam family "tRNA". Rfam says of the family: Transfer RNA (tRNA) molecules are approximately 80 nucleotides in length. Their secondary structure includes four short double-helical elements and three loops (D, anti-codon, and T loops). The record is from Rfam by way of RNAcentral. RNAcentral also lists the same sequence under 2 other names. Lineage: Eukaryota; Metazoa; Chordata; Mammalia; Carnivora; Felidae.
GCCUAGGUGGCUCAGUCAGUGAAGCAUCUGACUUCAGCUCAGGUCAUGAUCUCGUGGUUUGUGAGUUCAAGCCCCGUCUCAGGCU